Molecule: ribosomal RNA, 490 nt
Filed under: uncultured bacterium
Lineage: Bacteria
Description: partial 16S ribosomal RNA
Rfam family: Bacterial small subunit ribosomal RNA
Source: RNAcentral
AUUGAACGCUGGCGGCAGGCCUAACACAUGCAAGUCGAACGGUAACAGGAAGCAGCUUGCUGCUUCGCUGACGAGUGGCGGACGGGUGAGUAAUGUCUGGGAAGCUGCAUGAUGGAGGGGGAUAACUACUGGAAACGGUAGCUAAUACCGCAUAAUGUCGCAAGACGAAAGAGGGGGACCUUCGGGCCUCUUGCCAUCGGGUGUGCCCAGAUGGGAUUAGCUUGUUGGUGGGGUAACGGCUCACCAAGGCGACGAUCCCUAGCUGGUCUGAGAGGAUGACCAGCCACACUGGAACUGAGACACGGUCCAGACUCCUACGGGAGGCAGCAGUGGGGAAUAUUGGACAAUGGGCGCAAGCCUGAUGCAGCCAUGCCGCGUGUAUGAAGAAGGCCUUCGGGUUGUAAAGUACUUUCAUCGGGGAGGAAGGGAGUAAGGUUAAUACCUUUGCUCAUUGACGUUACCCGCAGAAGAAGCACCGGCUAACUCCGUG